GCUGACGCAGCAACGCCGCGUGGGUGAUGAAGGCCUUCGGGUCGUAAAGCCCUGUCAGGUGGGAAGAAAGGUUUCCAGGAGAAACACUUGGGAUUUGACGGUACCACCAGAGGAAGCACCGGCUAACUCCGUGCCAGCAGCCGCGGUAAUACAGAGGGUGCGAGCGUUAUUCGGAAUUAUUGGGCGUAAAGCGCGUGUAGGCGGGGAUGCAAGUCUGAUGUGAAAGCCCUGGGCUUAACCUGGGAAGUGCAUUGGAAACUGUAUUUCUUGAGUACUGGAGAGGAAGGGGGAAUUCCCGGUGUAGAGGUGAAAUUCGUAGAGAUCGCGGAGGAAUACCAGUGGCGUAGGCGCCUUUCUGGACGGUUACUGACGCUGAGACGCGAAAGCGUGGGGAGCAAACAGGAUUAGAUACCCUGGUAGUCCACGCUGUAAACGAUGAGCACUAGGUGUAGCGGGUACUCAUUCCUGCUGUGCCGUAGCUAACGCGUUAAGUGCUCCGCCUGGGGAUUACGG
Molecule: ribosomal RNA, 513 nt
Filed under: uncultured Syntrophobacter sp.
Lineage: Bacteria; Pseudomonadati; Thermodesulfobacteriota; Syntrophobacteria; Syntrophobacterales; Syntrophobacteraceae
Description: bacterial SSU rRNA
Rfam family: Bacterial small subunit ribosomal RNA
Source: RNAcentral